UACGUAGGGGGCAAGCGUUGUCCGGAAUCAUUGGGCGUAAAGCGCGUGUAGGCGGCCCGAUAAGUCCGCUGUGAAAGCCCAGGGCUCAACCCUGGAAUGCCGGUGGAUACUGUCGGGCUCGAGUCCGGAAGAGGCGAGUGGAAUUCCUGGUGUAGCGGUGAAAUGCGCAGAUAUCAGGAGGAACACCAAUGGCGAAGGCAGCUCGCUGGGACGGUACUGACGCUGAGACGCGAAAGCGUGGGGAGCAAACAGG
RNAcentral lists this ribosomal RNA (253 nucleotides) under uncultured bacterium. Its description in RNAcentral is "partial 16S ribosomal RNA". It matches the Rfam family "Bacterial small subunit ribosomal RNA", at positions 524 to 776 of the family's 1533-position model. The record is from RNAcentral.